AGAUGGCGUUUUAUGACCCCUUGACAGAUGGCGUUUUAUGACCCCAUGACAGAUGGUGUUUUGACAGAUCGUGUUUGGCAGGGGGCGGGACCAUCAAUCAAAAUAUGUACAAGUUGUCAACUUUAGACAGAAAGUAUUUAAUGGUUUUAUGGCCGGUCAUUUAGAGUGAUUGUUUUUCCUGAGUGUAUUUUAUGUCAAGCCUAUGCUGAUAUGUUUAAUGACGGCUCGUGUGUGACAGCUCGUGUUUCGACAUUUGAUGUCAGCUCUCACCCUUCCUCCCUCCUUUCUCACAAGACCUGCAUUCUUUCACAGGGGUGCGUGUUGUAAAGCGAUUAAAGAUUUCAAAAACUCAAUGUUGGUAAAACAAUCCCCCAUUACGGUGUCAAAAAGUAAAUGUUUAUUUUAGAUUUAGACAAAUCAUGAACAAUGCUACGAUUAAAACUUUUGAUUGUAACAUCACAAGUUAUUUAAUUAAAUAUUCCGUAUAUGGGUAUAGUUUAAGCAAUGAUCUGAGCCAAUACUACAAUCUUUAGACGAUAGUCUAAACUAAAUAAAUUUUUAAACGGUUCAGGAAUUCCGUGAAUCUUUUCAUAACCUGCACUAUAGUUUCACGCGUAUUAAAGAUCCGGCGGUGCCUGACAAAGCGCCGGGUGAGUGUUCAUAUCUGCCAUUUUAAAAUAAUGUUAAUAAAUGUAAUUCUGUCCACUAUGGCAAAAUAGGAUUUUAUUUUAGAUUUAGUGGAAUCUUUAACCAAGUCUCUGAUUAAGACAUGUGUAUACGUGCACAGAUGGUGACAGAGAAACUUAUAUAUGACGUUAAUAAUCUUUUAAAUGUUUUUAAGACGUAUUCACCCCAUUUUGGUGUUUUAUUUUUAAUUAAAGGCUUCUUAAAACAUGUGUGAAUAUGUAUAUAUUAUACAAAGAGUCUUAUAUUGUCUGCUCUGACAAAAAUAAAGUAUUUUUUUAGGUUUAGGGGAAUUGACUGCGUGUAUCUUAUAAAUACAACUUGAUAAUACGUUUGUUUUGUAAAGAGACUUCUUUAAAGUCACGCAAGAAUAAAAUAUUUUAGUUGUAACUGGUUAAACUUAAAGCCGAUAUUUUCUAUCGAACUAGUCUAUUUUCUGUUCAGACACAAAGUUUUCUGAUGCUGAUAUUAUGUCAGUGUGUGUUUGUGUGGGGGUCGUGUGAUGUAAUCUUUGAAAGUUUAUGACCGAACCUUUAUUGGGGAGCGACAAGAGAUCUCCCGGAAUCAGUUUGGAUGGAGCAGAGCUGUUAUACUCAAGUCUAUUGGUAUGUAUGUGUUUCGCUGUGUUCGUUCCAGUAUUUUGUAUGAUUUAUUUAAAAACUAAAAAUUCGAUCUCUGGUAUUGCAGCGAAAUUGUCUAAACUGGUAUUAACUAUUCCUGGUAAAUCGCGGAGAAGAGUGGCCUGAACAAAAAAGUCAGACCGAGACUAGAACCUCCCGCAGCGUAACACGGAAAUCUUGGAACAAAAGAGACGCCGACUGGCUCGUGUUGUCCGGUUUGGAUAUCAGAGGCAAAGCGAACGUUGUGUGUACUAUUGCAAAAUAUAUAGCGGAUCUCCACGGUUAGGAUACAGACCACAACGCUUUGGACGUAUCUUUAAAAAAGAUUAAAAUCAGAGACUUUUUGGAUUUGUCUGGGGACAUUUUAAACAUUUGUGGCAAAUUGGAUUUAAAACAUUUCGGAUACUGGAUAUCUAGUUUGAUUUGUCCACAGAGCUUGUUUAAGACGUUUUCACCGCAUUUUAGGGUUUAUUUUUAAUUAAAGGCUUCUUAAAACAUGUGUGAAAAUGUGUAUAUUAUACAAUGAGUCUUAUAUUGUCUGCUCUGACAUAAAUAAAUUUUUAUAUUAGAUUUUA
Non-coding RNA from Paramisgurnus dabryanus, 1879 nucleotides. The record is from RefSeq and is a predicted model, not a curated record. Lineage: Eukaryota; Metazoa; Chordata; Actinopteri; Cypriniformes; Cobitidae.